CUUUCGGGCGGGAGCGACCGGCGCACGGGUGAGUAACGCGUAUGCAACCUUCCUUUAACUGGGGAAUAGCCCGGAGAAAUUCGGAUUAAUACCCCAUAAUAUUCCGGAAACGCAUGUUUUCGGAAUUAAAGCUCCGGCGGUUAAAGAUGGGCAUGCGUACCAUUAGUUUGUUGGCGAGGUAACAGCUCACCAAGACUACGAUGGUUAGGGGGUCUGAGAGGAUGAUCCCCCACACUGGUACUGAGACACGGACCAG
Molecule: ribosomal RNA, 256 nt
Filed under: uncultured bacterium
Lineage: Bacteria
Description: partial 16S ribosomal RNA
Rfam family: Bacterial small subunit ribosomal RNA
Source: RNAcentral